This is a long non-coding RNA of Mesocricetus auratus (golden hamster), 1344 nucleotides long. RefSeq lists it as uncharacterized. The transcript has 4 exons. NCBI's taxonomy places the organism in Eukaryota, Metazoa, Chordata, Mammalia, Rodentia, Cricetidae. The record is from RefSeq and is a predicted model, not a curated record.
GCAGAGGAGAGAGCAUCAGAUUCCCUUGGAAACAUCUUGCUUUUUCAAGUUCAGCAUCCAGACAUUUAACAACUCUGAGGAAAGUCUCUCAGAAGAAAGGCGGAGAGGACUGCAACAAAAACUGUGGGCUGUGGCUGAUCAAAAUUAAACAAAAAAGUUGCUAAGCUGGAGUGAUGGUAAGAAGAUCCAAUAUGGUGACUUCACUGAUGUGUAAGCCUCAAUCUCCUCCACUGAGCUCAACAGAAGAAUCCAUUCAUUGUCUCCAGCUGAGUCCAUUGUUCUAUACAAUGUAUUGACAUUUAAUGUCUUUUGGAUGAAGCACUGGAUUUUGAAGAAGUUAUACGGCCAGUCACAGUUGUGAAGAACUUUGGUCAUCAUAUUUAUGUUAUCAUGACAAUCUCACUUUAGACCUUCUACAUCUACGUGAUUGAAGCUAAACCCAAGAAGCAUCAGGCCUGAUCCUAAACCCAGGGUGUCCAUCACAACCAGACUACAUCUUUUUGUUUUACCUUGAUGAGAGAUAUGAAUGAGGAGAUAACACUAACAAACUCAGGAGUCUGUCAAUCUACAGAGUCUCAGGAAUUUCAACCCAGUUGCAGAAAGAGAUUUUACCCUUCUCAAGUCACCGGCCUCCGUUUGGUGAUUGUAGUCUUCUUUUCGGUGAUUGCAGCACUGGGAGCGACUUUAGCAGAUGCUUCUUGACUUCAUCCUGAGAAGCCGAUUGUGAAUUGGGAAGUCAUGGUAAGUCCCAGGCCUUCCUCGGCUGCCCGGUGAGUUUGAAGACAGCCUGAAUUAUCUGAGACAAUGUCUCAAAAUUGAACAGACAAAAAGAACAGAGUCUACCAUGUUUCAUGAUACAAUUCAUUGACAUCUUAAUAUUACUACAGUUCUUACAGCUGGUAGCAGUCUGUAGAACUGCUCCUCUGGUGAACGAACUCAUCCUGACUCACACACAUACUCUUAUGUGAGUGUUAGCAUUUGUUUCCCCAAGCUGCUUCUCCUAGAUGGCUAUGCCUAUCAAAAUGAAUGCUGAAGCUUGUCCAGCUGGCAUAUGCAACUGGGGAAAGAGAGGCAGGCAGAUCUCUAUGAAUUCCAGGACAGCCUGGUGCCUGGCCUGUGUAGUGAGUUCCAGGACAGCCAAGGCUACAUAGAUACACUUUACCUUUAAAAAAGGAUUCUGAGUAUAAUGUGAUUUUUACUCUCUGUGAACCUUAUAAAAGUGGAACCAGAUUUCCAGGUUCUGAUCUUGAGUCACAAUUAUCAGUGUAUUGGACAGUAGCUCUCAACCUGUGGGUCACAACCCCUAUGGGGUUGCAUAUCAGAUAUUUACAUUAAGAUUCUUAA